This 445-nucleotide ribosomal RNA is filed under the name Fusobacterium periodonticum. Its description in RNAcentral is "bacterial SSU rRNA". It matches the Rfam family "Bacterial small subunit ribosomal RNA", at positions 28 to 498 of the family's 1533-position model. The record is from RNAcentral. Lineage: Bacteria; Fusobacteriati; Fusobacteriota; Fusobacteriia; Fusobacteriales; Fusobacteriaceae.
GAUGAACGCUGACAGAAUGCUUAACACAUGCAAGUCUACUUGAACUUCGGUUUGGGUGGCGGACGGGUGAGUAACGCGUAAAGAACUUGCCUCACAGUUAGGGACAACAUUUGGAAACGAAUGCUAAUACCUGAUAUUAUGAUUUUAGGGCAUCCUAAGAUUAUGAAAGCUAUAUGCGCUGUGAGAGAGCUUUGCGUCCCAUUAGCUAGUUGGAGAGGUAACGGCUCACCAAGGCGAUGAUGGGUAGCCGGCCUGAGAGGGUGAACGGCCACAAGGGGACUGAGACACGGCCCUUACUCCUACGGGAGGCAGCAGUGGGGAAUAUUGGACAAUGGACCAAAAGUCUGAUCCAGCAAUUCUGUGUGCACGAUGACGUUUUUCGGAAUGUAAAGUGCUUUCAGUUGGGAAGAAAAAAAUGACGGUACCAACAGAAGAAGUGACGGGU